This 253-nucleotide ribosomal RNA is filed under the name uncultured bacterium. RNAcentral describes it as "partial 16S ribosomal RNA". It matches the Rfam family "Bacterial small subunit ribosomal RNA", at positions 524 to 776 of the family's 1533-position model. The record is from RNAcentral.
UACGUAGGGUGCAAGCGUUGUCCGGAAUUAUUGGGCGUAAAGAGCUCGUAGGCGGUCUGUCGCGUCUGCUGUGAAAAUUCAGGGCUCAACCCUGGACCUGCAGUGGGUACGGGCAGACUAGAGUGCGGUAGGGGAGAUCGGAAUUCCUGGUGUAGCGGUGAAAUGCGCAGAUAUCAGGAAGAACACCCGUGGCGAAGGCGGCUCUCUGGGACGGUACUGACGCUGAGACGCGAAAGCGUGGGGAGCGAACAGG